This 203-nucleotide unclassified non-coding RNA is filed under the name Hevea brasiliensis (rubber tree). The record is from RNAcentral. Lineage: Eukaryota; Viridiplantae; Streptophyta; Magnoliopsida; Malpighiales; Euphorbiaceae.
GGUAUAUGAAAAUAAAUAAUCUCUGACUUAAAAACGCUGUAUGUACUCGUUAGUUCAAGGAAAUAAAAUAAUUUACAAGCUAAUGACAUUAUGGCCCAGUGGUAGGAGUCAUGGAACUUGGUUGGGUUUGGGUUCAAUUCUUAUCAGCAGCACAAAUAAAUAAUGCGCACAUAUAAAUAAAUUUAUUAUGGAAAGUCAAUCAC